RNAcentral lists this ribosomal RNA (274 nucleotides) under uncultured bacterium. RNAcentral describes it as "partial 16S ribosomal RNA". It matches the Rfam family "Bacterial small subunit ribosomal RNA", at positions 523 to 796 of the family's 1533-position model. The record is from RNAcentral.
AUACGGAGGGUGCAAGCGUUGUUCGGAAUCACUGGGCGUAAAGGGCGCGCAGGCGGUUUGGUAAGUCAGAUGUGAAAGCCCAUGGCUCAACCAUGGACGUGCAUUUGAAACUGUCAGACUUGAGUACUAGAGGGGAAAGUGGAAUUCCCGGUGUAGAGGUGAAAUUCGUAGAUAUCGGGAGGAAUACCGGUGGCGAAGGCGACUUUCUGGCUAGAUACUGACGCUGAGGCGCGAAAGCGUGGGGAGCAAACAGGAUUAGAAACCCCAGUAGUCC